GCCGGCGGAGGUCGCCGAGGGUCGUGCCCCAUCGACAAGGGGGACCCUUGUGAUGACACUGGGCCGGCCCAGGUAAUCCAGGACGAUCUCCGUCUCGAGAUCCUUGGCUGAGUCACACCCGCAAAGCCCCUUUCCCACGUCACGUUCGCAGGUGGCGGGGUCAGAGCGUGGACAUCUCUGGGAGCCACUGUUCAGCCUUUACGUCAAAUAAACAAGGUGGGGAGGUGGCGAAAGUUCCGGGUUGGGAAGGAACGUCACAGACCAGCUGUGUGGCUCCAGCCGUCUCCUGGCCUCCCUGGGCCUGGUACACACGGGCCUGCUCUCUGCCGGGCGACAGCUCCAGCUGUGGUGUGUGCAGCAUCCAUUCUCUUUUCACUGGUCACAGCUCCUCUGUUCUCCGGGGGAACAGUCCGUCUCUGGCUCUCAGUCCAGGUGCUGCACGUGGAUGUGAACAUCCUCUCCUCUCCAGUCAAGGAUGAGCAAGGGGCGAGCCUGGCCCAUCAGCGUGGGUCAUGACCUUGGCGGGGCCAGUGGUGAGAGCUUUACCUGGAAAUUGGGCCAGGCUCUCUUUCUUCGAGGUGGCGAAGCCAGCAGAAUGAAACCUGGAGCUGCUGGUGGUCGUCCUGCCUCCAGAUAGGAAGACCUUGCUUGAGAGUAGAUCUAUAGAGAAGAAAACAGACUAAGAAGCAGAGGAAGGCCAAUUCCUAUUGACCUUGAGCACCUG
This 724-nucleotide long non-coding RNA is filed under the name Equus asinus (donkey). RNAcentral's name for it is "lncRNA (ENSEASG00005032328.1)". Lineage: Eukaryota; Metazoa; Chordata; Mammalia; Perissodactyla; Equidae. The record is from RNAcentral.